GAUGAACGCUGGCGGCGUGCCUAAUACAUGCAAGUCGAGCGAACAGACGAGGAGCUUGCUCCUCUGACGUUAGCGGCGGACGGGUGAGUAACACGUGGAUAACCUACCUAUAAGACUGGGAUAACUUCGGGAAACCGGAGCUAAUACCGGAUAAUAUAUUGAACCGCAUGGUUCAAUAGUGAAAGACGGUUUUGCUGUCACUUAUAGAUGGAUCCGCGCCGCAUUAGCUAGUUGGUAAGGUAACGGCUUACCAAGGCGACGAUGCGUAGCCGACCUGAGAGGGUGAUCGGCCACACGGGAACGGAGACACGGUCCAGACUCCUACGGGAGGCAGCAGUAGGGAAUCUUCCGCAAUGGGCGAAAGCCUGACGGAGCAACGCCGCGUGAGUGAUGAAGGUCUUCGGAUCGUAAAACUCUGUUAUUAGGGAAGAACAAAUGUGUAAGUAACUAUGCACGUCUUGACGGUACCUAAUCAGAAAGCCACGGCUAACUACGUG
This 497-nucleotide ribosomal RNA is filed under the name uncultured bacterium. Its description in RNAcentral is "partial 16S ribosomal RNA". It matches the Rfam family "Bacterial small subunit ribosomal RNA", at positions 28 to 507 of the family's 1533-position model. The record is from RNAcentral.